RNAcentral lists this long non-coding RNA (832 nucleotides) under Elaeis guineensis (African oil palm). Its description in RNAcentral is "long non-coding RNA (EGUI_LNC034792)". The record is from RNAcentral. Lineage: Eukaryota; Viridiplantae; Streptophyta; Magnoliopsida; Arecales; Arecaceae.
CCGGACCUAAUGUUUUAAACUCCUGUAUCUUUUGCUAUACUUAAUCAAAAUUUAUAAUUAAUAUACUAUUUUGAAGCUUAUAAAAAACUCUACGAAUACAUGUAAAUUUUGUUAUCUGAAACCUACUCUACAGAAAAAAAAAUAAUAACAUCAAUUUUUGGAUCAUAUAAAUAUAGUUUCAUUUUUUCUCUUUAUAUCCUCAAUAUUACAAUCUCAAAAUUUUCAAAAUUAUUUCAUGCUAUAUGACGUACAUGUGUGUGAAAAAUCAUAUCACAACAUAUCAUGUACACAAAAUUGCCAUUAUUGAGUGAUCAAACCCCUAUAUGACAAAAAUACAUAAAAUAACUUUCCAAAAAUUUUAACUAUGGCAUAAUCAGUAACUAGAGCAGAAAAAAAACAACAAUGCAUAACUCUGAUACCAUUUGAAGAACAAAAUUUAAUAUAAAAUUUAUAAUUAAGUAUGUACUUACAAGUACUUUUCAAAAAAAUAUCCUAAGAAUUGAUGUUGGAUCACUAGCUGCUAGUCCAGAGUAUAAUCGUGGGAAAAAUACACCUUGAUUCACAACCUAAAUGCCUUUAUAUGGAUAAAUGUAGAAAGGGUGAUAAAGAGUCUAGAGCCGAAAGAGAGUGAAGUUCUCUCUUCUCUUUUUUUAACUGUCAUGAAAAAUUUUUCAUAUAUCCAGAAUGGAUGAUGUUCUCACAUUUAUAAAACUAAAAAGUAGUUUCUUAUUUUUUGAUGGGAGACCAACUCCCUCACAAUUCAAAUUCAAACGAAUCAGGUUGACCUAUCAUAGGUGCCCAACCCGGAUCCAUAAACACCAACAGAAACUAU